This 253-nucleotide ribosomal RNA is filed under the name uncultured bacterium. RNAcentral's name for it is "partial 16S ribosomal RNA". It matches the Rfam family "Bacterial small subunit ribosomal RNA", at positions 524 to 776 of the family's 1533-position model. The record is from RNAcentral.
UACGUAGGGGGCAAGCGUUGUCCGGAAUCAUUGGGCGUAAAGAGCGUGUAGGCGGCUCGAUAAGUCUGCUGUGAAAUCUCCCGGCUUAACUGGGAGGGUGCGGCGGAGACUGGAGUGCUAGAGUGUGGGAGAGGUAAGCGGAAUUCCUGGUGUAGCGGUGAAAUGCGUAGAUAUCAGGAGGAACACCUGUGGUGUAGACAGCUUACUGGACCACGACUGACGCUGAGACACGAAAGCGUGGGUAGCAAACAGG